GGUGGCGGCUCGCUGGUCGCUCCAUUUAGAUACAUCAAUAUUUUUAUUUAAAUAAUAAUAUAUAAUAAACGGACCGUACUGGCUGAGGAUCGGACCCAGUACCAUCCCAUCUCUAGCACCGUAGAUCGACACACUAACUGCUUGAGCUACAGCCGGCCACCAAUUCACAACCAAUACACCAAAAUAUAAUCAUGAAAUGAUGAAUAAAACUAGACGAUGACAUUUUAAAUGCAAGUAAGUUUUUCUGAGUAUAACAAAUGUCAUAGUCACCCUGUACAUACUAUCUAUCUUACAGGUUAAUUUCUAACCAAUUAUAAUGAAUUUGUUAAUUUUCUAAAAAUAAUUAUGACAUUUCAAUUUUAAUGGCUAAAAUUUAUAAUUUGAGUAAUUUUUAAUAUGAAAUAUUUUAUUUCAGCAAAAUUAGAGAUAAUAAUUAAGUUUUGACUUAGCAACAGCAAUAUAAAACACUAAUUCACCACAAUCCGCUAAAACAUCAUCGUGAAACAUCAUCAGCAGAUUAUUAAAACUAUAAAAACCUUUUGAAUGCGGAAUGGAUUUAUACUACUUUCGUCUCUUACCCAAGUUAGAUUCGAAUAAGUAUUUUCUUGUUGAGAUCGAUAUAUAUCGAUCUUACGAUGUUAACAUCUAAACAUUAUAUUUGUGCUCCUAUGAAAUAUCAAGCCUAGAAUCCAAUAAAGCACUUUAUGUAUGCUGUCGCCGAUUGCCGAGUGAUACCGAAGAAUUAAUAAAGUAGUAUGUAGUAGUAUGCAAAUAACCGUUAAAUGGAUUUAAACAUAAAAGAACUUUUGAUAUCAGAUUUUAUGAUAAUCUGUUAAAAUUUUAAUAAAGUCUAG
Molecule: long non-coding RNA, 854 nt
Filed under: Sitophilus oryzae (rice weevil)
Lineage: Eukaryota; Metazoa; Arthropoda; Insecta; Coleoptera; Curculionidae
Description: uncharacterized LOC115891371, transcript variant X2
Source: RNAcentral